RNAcentral lists this transfer RNA (19 nucleotides) under Zenaida galapagoensis (Galapagos dove). RNAcentral describes it as "partial tRNA-Met". Lineage: Eukaryota; Metazoa; Chordata; Aves; Columbiformes; Columbidae. The record is from RNAcentral.
UUAACCCCUUCCCCUACUA